Molecule: unclassified non-coding RNA, 253 nt
Filed under: uncultured Bacillaceae bacterium
Lineage: Bacteria; Bacillati; Bacillota; Bacilli; Caryophanales; Bacillaceae
Description: contains 16S-23S intergenic spacer region
Rfam family: Bacterial small subunit ribosomal RNA
Source: RNAcentral
UACGUAGGUGGCAAGCGUUGUCCGGAAUUAUUGGGCGUAAAGCGCGCGCAGGCGGUUCCUUAAGUCUGAUGUGAAAUCUCGGGGCUCAACCCCGAGCGGUCAUUGGAAACUGGGGAACUUGAGUACAGAAGAGGAGAGUGGAAUUCCACGUGUAGCGGUGAAAUGCGUAGAUAUGUGGAGGAACACCAGUGGCGAAGGCGACUCUUUGGCCUAUAACUGACGCUGAGGCGCGAAAGCGUGGGGAGCAAACAGG